Molecule: small RNA, 1027 nt
Filed under: Histoplasma capsulatum
Lineage: Eukaryota; Fungi; Ascomycota; Eurotiomycetes; Onygenales; Ajellomycetaceae
Also listed under: 1 other name
Description: hypothetical RNA
Source: RNAcentral
CUAACUACACAUUCGAUUGCUUUCAGAAUUAUCAGAACUACCUAGGUGACGAUACAUAUGCCAUAUGCCAUAUGACAUCCUCCGCUUCCGACAAGACUAUACGGUUCUCUGCGAUAGUGCUCUCGCGCGGGGCUUUGUGGCGAUGUAAAAGGCAUACAUUUGUGACUUCGUUUUAUGAAGCGUGGUAACCUUGAAACAACCUGAAUGCAUCUCCCAUGCGCCUGGGUGUAUAAGACAUAAUAACAAUAAUAGGCUCUGAGGAAAGAAUCAAGGAACAUAUUGGCUGCCAAUAUCUCCUUAACACUUCUCUCCAACACUGCCAGUGUUCAACCCCGCGAACCUCAUCCUGAACCACCAUUUGCACGCUCACAUACCAGUUUGAUACCAUGGCGAUCGAAGAGCACCAUAAGGGACCAACCGUUCUUUUUUUUUUUUUUUUUUGAGAAGUAAAAUUGACGAGUUAAAAGUUACUUUCUACACUUUUGGUUCUCUACUGUCUCCACGCAAUCAUCAAUUUAUGCUCUAUUCAGCCAGCACUGGAUUAUCCUCUGCGGUUAGUUUUAUGCUAGAUUUUGCUACGGAGCGAACCACUUCCAGCUCCAGUUCAGUUAUCUUAACCAAGACGGGGAUACGAAACCCAUUGAGCGUUGCUUGAUUGCAGAUGAUGGCAUUUCCGGGUGGACCUGAAUACGUUAGUUAAGUGCGUUCUCAGAGGGAGGGAGGCUCUUGCACUGCCACUGGCACACUUCCUUUGAAUUUCCAAAGUCAACUGGUCAGUACAGGCAGUGGACCUUUGGUCUUCAGGUUGGAUGUGCCGAGUGGCAAGUCAUUCGUAUCUCCUUUCUGCAGCGCCACCACGUAAACGAUUAACCACCCGGCCGAGUAUUUCGAAACAUUUACCCUAUUGGUAUCGCAUAAUAAAGGAAAUGCGAGCUAUAUUGACAGGGGAAAGUAGUGCGAAUCCCUCGGACGUUCCAAUAUCUAAAAUCCGGAAGACAAUUCUUCCUUAUACAGUGAUGACGCGGAC